Long non-coding RNA from Xenia sp. Carnegie-2017, 415 nucleotides. RefSeq lists it as uncharacterized. NCBI's taxonomy places the organism in Eukaryota, Metazoa, Cnidaria, Anthozoa, Malacalcyonacea, Xeniidae. The record is from RefSeq and is a predicted model, not a curated record. The transcript is spliced from 4 exons.
AUGUGGAAGCACCAUUAUAAAUUUUAUUACCAAUAUUGGUAGGAAAGUGGUUUACGAAGGAAAGAAAAUACAAAUUUUGAAUAAGAAGCAAUGGCUUUAAUGCAACAAAUAACCCAAUAUUCUAAAGCAAUGAUUCCGUUUUUGCGACCAAUGUGGCCUUAUGGCAUUUCUUUUUCCAUGACAGGAUACCUUGUUUGGAAGCUUCCAAUAACAGAGGAGACAAAGGCCAAUUCAAAGUAUUAUAAUCCUGGUCAACAUGAGCACUGAAUCAAAUUCAUUGUAAAGAUUUGAUGUUUUUGUGCAAUUCAAGUUCAAGAAAAGAAAAACAUUGUUACAGGACUCAAAUGAAUAUAAUUUUAUUGCUAACUAUUUCUUUUGCAUUUGGAAUCAAAAUAUAAUCUACAACAAAACCUAA